This 261-nucleotide ribosomal RNA is filed under the name uncultured bacterium. RNAcentral's name for it is "partial 16S ribosomal RNA". It matches the Rfam family "Bacterial small subunit ribosomal RNA", at positions 524 to 776 of the family's 1533-position model. The record is from RNAcentral.
UACGUAGGCAGCAAGCGUUGUUCGGAAUUACUGGGCGUAAAGAGUGUGUAGGUGGUGAACUAAAGUCUGUCGUGAAAUCUCCCGGCUUAACUGGGAGGGUGCGGCGGAAACUGGCUCGCUAGAGGUAUGGGAGAGGUAAGCGGAAGUUCCUGGUGUAGCGGUGAAAUGCGUAGAUAGUCAGGAGGAACACCGGUGGCGAAGGCGGAUCUCUGGGCCGAUUACUGACGCUGGAGGAAGCGAAAGGCGUGGGGAGCGAACAGG